ACUUAAAAUUUAAGCUUCUACACCUAAAAAUAAUUUUAAUCCAACAUCGAGGUCGCAAACUUUUUUAUUAAUAUGAACUUUUAAAAAAAAUUACGCUGUUAUCCCUAAGGUAAUUUAAAUUUUUAAUCAAUAAAAUUAGAUCAGUUAUUCAUUAAUUUAUGUUUAAAAAUAAUAAAAGGUUUUUAAAUUUUAUUGUCACCCCAACAAAAUAUUAUUAACUAUAAAAAUUUAAUUUUUCUUAAAAAUUUAUUUAAUUUAAUAAUAUAAAACUCUAUAGGGUCUUCUCGUCUUUCAAUUAUAUUUAAGCAUUUUUACUUAAAAUUUAAAUUUUAUUAUAAUUUUUAUGAUACAGUUUUUAUUUCGUUCAACCUUUCAUACAAGUUUUCAAUUAAAAAACUAAUGAU
This 404-nucleotide ribosomal RNA is filed under the name Arachnocampa richardsae. RNAcentral describes it as "partial 16S large subunit ribosomal RNA". Lineage: Eukaryota; Metazoa; Arthropoda; Insecta; Diptera; Keroplatidae. The record is from RNAcentral.